Molecule: transfer RNA, 75 nt
Filed under: Brevundimonas phage vB_BgoS-Bajun
Lineage: Duplodnaviria; Heunggongvirae; Uroviricota; Caudoviricetes
Description: tRNA-Pro
Rfam family: tRNA
About the family: Transfer RNA (tRNA) molecules are approximately 80 nucleotides in length. Their secondary structure includes four short double-helical elements and three loops (D, anti-codon, and T loops).
Source: RNAcentral
CUGGGUCUGGCCGAACGGUUAGGCACCUCGUUUGGGGCGAGGACUAUGCGGGUUCGAGCCCUGCGGCCCAGACCA